Syngnathus acus (greater pipefish) is the source of this 925-nucleotide long non-coding RNA. RefSeq lists it as uncharacterized. Lineage: Eukaryota; Metazoa; Chordata; Actinopteri; Syngnathiformes; Syngnathidae. The transcript is spliced from 2 exons. The record is from RefSeq and is a predicted model, not a curated record.
CUCGUCGUCUGCCCUGAGUGUCCCACGGAGAAACAUGCAGAUGGGUGAAACUGAACACAGCGGCUUGUGUUUCCCAGUCAUGUGUCCUAAUCUAAAAAUAGUCACCAUGCACACCGAGAGCACCAGAAGGCUUCUGCACCACACCGCAUCAGCGACAACGUGUCAACAUCAUCCUCGAAUGCGCUUCACGCGGUCACAUGUCCGCACCAGGCAACAGGCUCUAUUUUAGCCGCCGACGCAAAUCUUGUCCCCGCUCCCGUUUCACUUCAUGGACUAGAACGGAUGGCUUCUCUCACUCCCCUCAGGGGACGACGGCGGGGCUGCCGGGUUGUCAGGCUGCCGCGUCCUCCGAGACUCGGGCUGCUCCCAGUCAGUCCAUCAAACACGCUGCAGUGUUCUCCUGCCAGGAGUCACACACCAACAAAGGCCGAGAGUAAACAAAGCACGCUGGCCGCCACAAAGGGCAACAAGGAGACCGGGCGCCGAAUAUACGCCGUUCUCAAACAAGUCACCGUUUCCUUUUCAUGCUCGCCUGGCUGACUUGACUGCUGCUUAACUUGCUGGCUUCCCUGAGUGAACGCUUCCCUGCCAGAUUCCUGAUGAGGGAGCCAAAAAGCAAAUGGCACAUAACGAGAGAGCUCCUAGUCCCGUUCUGGCUCCAAAUGACAAGGGGGAAGCGCCAGAGUGGGACACCUGUCAUUUCUGCGUGUUCACACGGAAAAUGGCUAACAAGCCGAUCCGGGUUUGAAGUCAGCGUUUAAUCGAUGAGAACGCGAAUAUAGCGGCACCUGCGCCGUCUAAUGAGAUGAAUCAAUGUCAUAGAACAGAUUGUGUUCCAGAUUCCAAGUGUAUUUGUUUACCUCAUAGUGUAUUUAUACUGUGGGCUAAUUUAAAACUGACCCGACCAAAUAAAUGAAUUCUCUCA